CCCCAACAAUGACCUCUGCGCCUGUGAAAGGAUGAGGAGAUAAGUACUUUAAUCAGCAGGAACAUGUAACAACAAAGAGGUUUGUAGAUAACAGAACAAAGACACUUUCAGAUGCUUUUUCCUCGAUGGGUGUGUAAAACAGGGAUAAGCAACACCCUCGCCAAGGACACGAGAGAGAAGUAUGGAUCAUGAAAUGCAUAUAAAGUUGUGCCAACCCCCAACUGAAUGAUAGAGGAAACACUGUUCUGCAUCUGGGAGCCAAACAUGGUCAAUCAUAAUUCAAGGCCCAUUUGAAGUGGAACAGGAAAAGAGCAUAUAGAAGAACCUACUGUGGCCUUCAAAAGUGCUAAAAACUCCAAGGAACCUCUCUAGAGUCAGUAUGUGGUUUGUCUUUUUUGGGCUACUGUAGAAACGCGGCUGUGUAACAUGUUGCACUAAAGGAUGCUGCUGGAAGCCGCUGCCAUCAGUGCAUGAGUGUGUCUGAAUCCAAAAAUGAAAAAAAAAAAAAAAGAGAUUCUUUCAGGCAAUGAGCAGAUAA
Long non-coding RNA from Acanthopagrus latus (yellowfin seabream), 538 nucleotides. RefSeq lists it as uncharacterized. The transcript has 3 exons. The record is from RefSeq and is a predicted model, not a curated record. NCBI's taxonomy places the organism in Eukaryota, Metazoa, Chordata, Actinopteri, Spariformes, Sparidae.